GUGUCAGCAGCCGCGGUAAUACAGGGGGUGCAAGCGUUGCUCGGAAUUACUGGGCGUAAAGCGUGCGCAGGCGGUUUGUCAAGUCGGGGGUGAAAACCCGGGGCUCAACCCCGGAAUUGCCUCCGAAACUGGCAGACUUGAGUACGAGAGAGGGUCGCGGAAUUCUUGGUGUAGAGGUGAAAUUCGUAGAUAUCAGGAAGAACACCAGUGGCGAAAGCGGCGACCUGGCUCGAUACUGACGCUCAUGCACGAAAGCGUGGGGAGCAAACAGGAUUAGAUACCCUGGUAGUCC
Molecule: ribosomal RNA, 292 nt
Filed under: uncultured bacterium
Lineage: Bacteria
Description: partial 16S ribosomal RNA
Rfam family: Bacterial small subunit ribosomal RNA
Source: RNAcentral